ACUUAAAGCUACGAAAAUAGGAAACCUAGGGUACUAAUUACUAGUCGAAUCAGAUUGCAGCUGGACACCAUUUACAAAUCGUCCUUUCAUUUCCAAUACACCCAUCUGCUGCAUUUGAUAGCUUUUCAGUUUCUUCCAUAGUAUGCUAUCCAUUCUUUUUCAUCUUUCACAAAAAGCCAUUCUCAAUUUGGGAGCCUACUCUAUCUUCCCUCCGAGCGCACAUAAAGGCGGUGUAAUACCUCUCCUUCCAGGUGUGUUUUUUCUCCCCUUCUUAGCGCUUCUUCUGCAAUUUUGUGAGCCAAGACGUUCUCAGUUCUAUUGAUAAAUUGGAAUCUGAUUUCUUGAAAAAACUCUUGACUUUUUUUGAAUAUCACUGAUUAUUGCUCCUAUAACUGACUUAUCUUGCAUUGAUGUUUGACAUUUCUUUAUGACGGUUCGUGAGUCCCCCUUUACCGUAACUGAGUGUAUACCCAUGGAAAGUCCAAGAUUAAUCGCAUGAAGACCUGCAUAAGCUUCUGUUGCAAAAGAAGUUGAAAUAUUUGAAUUUAAGACCGUUUUCGUAGCAAGGAUUACUCCCAUAUGAUCUAGAACCACCAGGCCUGCCAUCGAUUUGAAAUCCCUUCGAUUAAAGGCAGCAUCAAAGUGAAUCGUCAUCCCAAAACUCGUUUUGCUUUGAAUGGCCCUCGUAGCUGUAUACAAGGUACUCUUUUUUUCUGUUAGACCAUCAAUCUUGGCCACAUACCUUUGAACUUUUGAUGCUAUCUCUCUUCCUGACACAAAUUUUCUUUCAUGCAUGAGCUUGUUUCUUGACCCCUACAGGACCCAUAUGCCACAGCAAAUCAAUCGACCUUGUUUGGGAGUGCUCUUUUGGAAAAUCCAAACAAUACAGAAAGACAUGAGAUAUAUCUUCCUCCCCAGAUCUACAUCGAUGACAAGCAGCAGUGUCGGCUAUUUGUUUAGAUCGCAAAUUAACUAGAGUAGGCAUAUAGUUCUAUGAUGCUCUCCAAACUAUAAUAGUAAUCUUUGAGGGGAGCUGUAAAUUCCAGAGCUUUUUGUAGAAAUUUUUUAAAUCGGUUUGUAAUAAUCAGUCGUUAGGAUUCGAGCUAGUGAUUUGUAAUAGUUUGUAAGCACUUCUGACCGAAAACUCACCAGAAAGCUCACCCUUCCACACCUGAAAAUCAACUCCUGGGAGUUCCGCCAGAGGAAUUUGCAAAAUCUUUUGGGCAGUGUCUACUGGGAAGUUCCCCAUCCAACUCUCUAACUCUCCAACUCAGCACACUUCGUAACAAUCCUUUUGUAGCCCAGACACUCUUCUAGGUAAGAGAUGGUGAGUUUCCCAACUGUGCAUUAAAAAAGUCUGAACUUGGAUAAUACUUAGCUUUAAGAACUUUUGCCAGUAAGGAAUUUGGAUAAUUAAUGAGUCGCCACCCUUGUUUAGCUAACAUAGCGAUAUUAAACUGACUAAUAUUUUGAAAUCCAAUACCUCCAUUUUCCUUCAAAGUACAAAGGUUCCUCCACGCACACCAGUGUAUACCCCUUCUUCCAUGGCCCUUCUGCUACCAAAACUUGGCAAUAAUAUUCUCAAUCUCACUGCACAAUGUCUUAGGUAAAAGGAAACAGGCCUUUGAGUAAAUUGGGAUGGCUAGGAGUAUGGACUUAAUAAAUAUUUCUUUCCCUCCUUGUGAUAAAUGUCUCGUACUUCAUUGAUCAAUGCGCUGCUUAAUUCGAUCCUUUAAAAUUUGAAACGACUCCCUUUUCUUUCUGCCUACCAUGUUAGGUAAUCCUAGGUAACACUCUGGGUCACUCGAGCUUCGUACUCCCAAUAUAUUACCCCACCACUCUUCUAUCAACAUCAGGUGUAUUCUUGCUAAAAAAGACUACUGAUUUGUCAAAAUUAGCGCAUUGCUCUGAACACAUUCUGUACUUUCUAAGGAUUUUUUUUAAGAUAUUAGCUCCUCUACUCGUUACUUCACUAAAUAAAAUGCAGUUAUCAGCGAAGAGUAAGUGUGACACCUGCGGUCCACUCCUUAGCUUUUACACCUUUCAACAACCCUUCACGCAUUGCACGAUUUAUUAGACAAGAUAAGCCUUCCCCACAUAUAAGUAACAUAAAAGGGUUGAGUGGAUCCCUUUGGCGCAGCCCCUUCAUCGGUUGAAAAUUUUCCCCUUCAAAUCCAUUAACUAUUACCGAAUAUGUAACAGAAUUUAUGCACUUCAUAAUAGUCUCAAUCCAGUUUGAGGCAAAGCCUAUACGAAUCAUUAUUUCUUCAAUAAAUUUCCACUCAACUCGACCUUAUGCUUUACUCAUAUCAAGUUUCACUACCAUAAAACCUUUCUACCCCACUCGCUUCUGUUUCAUGUUUCAAUGUGUGAAGAAUUUCAUAAGCAAAUGGAAUAUUAUCUAAGAUCAAUCUCUCUGGUACAAAAGCACUUUGUGCCACAUCAAUACAUUUCCCAAUAACCCCUCUAAGCCUAUUGGCAAUAGCUUUCGCCAUGAUUUUAUAAAUCACAUUACAUAGGCUAAUUGGUCUAAACUACAUCAUGUUCACGGGGUCAGCAACUUUUGGAAUAAGCACAAUGUGUAUAGAAUUUACCUAUUCAAAAUCCUUAUCCUUAUUUAGAGUUUGUAAGCAGAAUUUGGUGACAUCUUCUCCCAUAAUAUGCCAACACUUUUGAUAAAAUAAUGUCGAUAAUCCAUCUUCCCCUGGGGCUUUAAUGGGUCCCAUCUCAAACUCUGCGACUUUAAUCUCGUCCUUUGUGUAGGAUGCGUUAGCAAUUGAUUAUCCUCCUCAGAUAUACACCUGCCAACUUUUAGUAAAAAUUGAUCAUGAUUUCCCCUUCCUUCUGAUGUAAAUAACCUUUAAAAGUAAGCCCGUGCAAUGCCUUCUAUUUCUGGGAUAAUCUCUGUUUCCUUUCCCUACCAAUCCUUCAUUUUGUGAAUCAAAUUUCUCCUUCUCCGAUGUGUGGCUUGACUAUGAAAGAAAGUAGUAUUCCUAUCACCAUACUUUAGCCAAUUUAUGCGUGCUCUCUGUUCCUAGUAACGUUCGUCAUUGUCUAUUUCAAGAUUCAGUUGAACUCUUGUGUUGAUCAACUCUGCCAUAUUAGAAUCAUCUCUCUCAUCUGUUAAAAAUUCUGUUAAUCUGUCUGUAAGAAUUGACUUACGCUGUUUUCGUUUAGCUUGGAUCCGAAUAGCCCAUUUCGUCAAACCAUGCUUAAGCAAGUCUAAUUUCUACAACAAGUUACUCGAAGAUGACCUCCAAAAACUUUUGACUUCUUCCUCGAACGACUCCUCUAUUGUCCACCAAGCUUUAAACCUAAAAGCUUUCUUCUUUGACCCUUGUUCUACCUUGGUUGUAUUUAUCAAUAGGGGGCAAUAAUCAGAGAAUGAAUGAGUGAGGUGUUUGAUAUUACCUCAGAAAACAUGGCCAUCCAUUCCUCAUUUGCAACGCCCUUAUCAAGUCUUUCGGGUAUAUUUGUCUCCGGUAAAUUACCCCUCUCCCAAGUAAACUAUCUACCUCAAAAUCUUACAUCCAUUAGGUUGCAAUCACUUAAGACAUUACAGAAUAACUUCAUUCUUCUUUCAUCUCUCGGUAGCCCUCCUUUUUUUUCAAAACCUUACAUUAUUUUAUUAAAGUCCCCGCAAACAGACCACGGAAAUCUCUCCCCAUUGAAUAAAAUUUUUAACGCAUCCCAGAAAUUAUUUCGAUCAUGUACAUAUGGGGACCCAUAAAAUCCAGUAACCCUCCAUUGACCUCUUACAUCAGAGUCAUUUAUUACCACAUCAAUAAACCUUUUCGAGUAUUGUCGAAGUGUAACACACCUCCGCUUUCCAUGCCAAACAUAAUCCACCUCUAAUGCCAUCCGAGUCAACUUUAAUCCCAUGAACAUACCCACACCUAUUAUGAAUCCUCUUCAUUUGACUUUUACAUAUUUUUGUCUCCAUGAAGAAGACCAUUUGGGAAUUUUGUAACUUUAGCAUAUAUCGAGGUCUUCGAACUGUUCGUGGGUUCCCUAAUCCACGAACAUUCCAACUUAACAGUUUCAUUGCGCCCAGUCGGCUUGCUUCUUGGCAGCUAUCGAUACAAAUUGAUUUCUUUCCAACAAUCUCCUAUUUCUACCCAUCGAAGAGUUUUCCUUUCUCAAUACUAACGCACCCUCUAUCUCCUCUCUAGCCUGCUUCUUCCUUUCUUCGCCAAUCAGAGCACCUUUUUCUAGGUCGUGCUCCAUCAGUUAAAUCUGGAACUGACAAUGAGUUACUCCCCAUGUGAUUUCCUAGUAUUCUCCGACCUUCCAGGUUGAACCCCAAGACUUGGUCAAAAGAUUGUCCGAAACCCGCUUUUGUAUUUGUACCAGUCUGAAAAAUACUCCAUUUUCUAACUGUGUUUCCCCCGUUGUAAUUCAUUUUCCCAUCCCUUUCGUCUCUCAACCACACUGUUCAUUGCUACAACCCUCCAUGAUUGCGCUCGUAUGGACAAAUCCCAACCCAGCUACUUCCACCUCUAGCAUCAUCUUUGCUUCACAAAAUUAAUCAUUAUGCCCUAGCCGAUCGCAAUAAAAGCAAAAAAAGGAAAGUCGCUCAUACUUGAAAUUUACAUAGGUACAAUUCUCGCUAAACAAAAUUGGUUUCCUCCUUUUUAACGGGUGUCGCACAUCAAUCUGUAUUCGUACUCGCAAAUAAUUUAUACUUCCCUUUCCCAAAUUUGAUCCAUCAUACUCUAUAAAUUCUCUGAUAAAAUUUCCCAGUUGGGCUGCCAAAUUUUUCAAAAAAAGUCCAAAGGGGACGUCAUGAAUCUGAACCCAAAACGGUGCCAUGACAAGUGGAAUUUUUAGAGAAUCUUCUCCCUAUUGUAAUUUAUGUAAAACUAGCAAAUGAUUAUUAAAAGCCUAUGGAUAUCCCUUCAACACUCUAUCCAAAUCCAUGAUAUGAUAGAAUUGAAACAAAAAUCUCUUUUCACCCAAAUCCUGAAAUGAACACCCCUAACAGGAUGCCAAAGAUUUGCCAUUAUACUUUUCAUUGCAGGAAAAUAAAUAACAUUAGCAGUUAAAAAACAUCCUACUAACCUGAAGAUCUCCUCUCUUCUUUCUAUAUUCGGUUCACUUUGGACCUGUAGGAUGGCAUCUUCUUCUUCGUUAAGUGAUAGCCCUGCUAAUUUGUUUUCCAUUGAUUACAGGUGUAAAUCCUGAUUGAAACAAAACACUAUACAGAAAGAAACCCUAUAAUCUGGAUUUAAGCCGUCGCCCCUCCACUCACAAACAAAAACCAAAACCCAAGAAAAGAAAAGUGCCAGGGAUGGCAGACUAGAAAAAAUAGAAAAUAUUUUUAAAAACUAAUGGAGUAGGCUUUGUUUUGGUAUUUGAAAAUAUUUUCUAUAUUAUUUUUAUUUUAUUUUCAAAAAGAAAAGUUUUCUCUUUUAAAAACAUGUUUGGUAAAUUUAGAAAUCAAAAAUUAUUUUCAAUAAUAAAAGCAUGAAACAUGUUUGGCAUCUAUUUUCUAAAACAUGAAUGUGAGAAAUAAAAUUAAAAAAUGACAUUUAUAUAAAUUUAAAUGAGAGAAUGAGAUUUAAUAUAUAUAAAAAACUAUUUAGAAAAAGAGGAGAAUAUUUUUAUAUUUAUAUGGAUUUGAACUAGAGCCAAUUCAUUUCAAGAUGAAAACAUUGUUUUUGUUAUUUUCAGUUUUGCAAAACAUUUUUAGGGAAAACAAUAGAAACAAUUGUUUUAUAAUUUUCACAUAUUUUAAUUUUUAUUUUCAAAAUUUAUUUUUAAAAUUUUCAACUAAACACAUGUUCUUGAAUUUUUGCAUUUUUUCAAUAAAACGAAAAUGAAAGUGGCAUCCGUAUCUUGAAACCAAACCAACCUUAGCUUCUUACAUUCUUCUUUUUCUUCAGUUGUUCACCACAUUUCAUUCUUCAAAUGUCGCAAUCAUUAAAUCCUAGUAUCACACAAUCGUUCAUUUAUAGUUUUAGCGUUUCGUAUUCUAAUACAAGCCUUCUUUUACCUUCAAGUCAUUGAUGUCACAAAAAAUUGAAUAAGGUAAUUUUUGAAACCAUGAAUUCUUAUAUUGGCUUAUUUUUUGCUUUAUUAAAUUAUAAUUUAAAAUGAGAACUUGUUUAUCUUCUUUUUCUUUAGUCGUUCACUAUAUUUCAUUCUUCAGAUGUCGCAAUCGUUAAAUCCUAGUAUCCCAUAGUUGUUCACCUAUGUUUCUAACGUUUCUUAUUCCAACAUAAACCUUCUCUUUCCUUGAAGUUAUCGAUGUUACAAAAAUUUGAAUAAGGUAAUUUUUGAAUCCAUAAAUUCUUAUAUUGACUUAUGUUUUGCUUUAUUAAAUUAUAAUUCAAAAUGCAAACUUGUUUAUCUUUUGCUUAUAUAUUUUCAUUAGAUUCCUUACCUUUUUAAAGAUAAACAAACAUUUAUUUUCAUUUUUUGAACCUAAUACAUGCAAACCCUAGUAUCUUAUAAGGUGUGUUGUCACCCUUUAUACUCCUACUUAUAAUAGUUGUUUUUUAUUAAAAUAUUAUUAUUUAAUUAUAUCAUAUUUAAGCGGAAGUCUUGUACCGAUUCUCUAUAAAUAGGAACUAUGUAUUGAACUAUUUACACACAUUAUUUAUGUCACCAUUUUGUCAAAAAUAGUGGUAAUUUAUUUUAUAGAAUAAAGUCUCUUUUUUGAGAAAAA
This is a long non-coding RNA of Gossypium arboreum, 6670 nucleotides long. RefSeq lists it as uncharacterized. The transcript is spliced from 3 exons. The record is from RefSeq and is a predicted model, not a curated record. Lineage: Eukaryota; Viridiplantae; Streptophyta; Magnoliopsida; Malvales; Malvaceae.